Molecule: long non-coding RNA, 1231 nt
Organism: Homo sapiens (human)
Lineage: Eukaryota; Metazoa; Chordata; Mammalia; Primates; Hominidae
Product: long intergenic non-protein coding RNA 494
Source: Ensembl
ACCUCCCUGCUGUUCCUCACCCAGGAUCACCAAGGUCUCUCCUACCCCGGGGCCUGUGCACCUGCUGUGCCUCUGCUUGGGGUGCUCUUCCCAGGGCUUGCCCACCUCCUCAGAGAGGCCUCCUGACCCCUGACACGGCCUUGCCCUUCACCUCUAUCGUCCUUUAGAACAGCCCCCACCUCCCGCACAUCAUGCAGUUGCAGGUUCAAUGGCUACUGCUUGUCCUCCAGACUCGCCUCAUCACUCCUCAGAUGAUUCUCGAAGGAUAACACACAGGCCAGUGGGCAGCCCUAGGCCAGGGGGAUUACCAAGACAUGAAGACUUUCUUUCUGUCUCAGCAACCUUCAUGCUUGGUCAAGCAAAGGUGUUGCUUAAGUCAAACCCAGGGCAGGGGAGAGCAGUUGAAGCAAAGUGAGUCUUUGGAGGCCCUGUGGUUGUGGGGUCUGGUGUGGAGACAGUGAGAACGGAAAAGGUGGGAGAGGAGCAGUCAACCCGUGAAUGGCCCCAUUCAGACGCCUUUACCUGGAAGACGUGGCAGGUCUACUGGGGUUCAUCCCAUCUGAGCCAGGCCUGGCUUUUCUUGGCUGCAAGCUGAGAGCUGGGUCCAGGUCUGCUGAACCAAGGUUCUCCCAUCUUCCUUGAGCCAGUGACAAUCAGAGGCCUAUUUCUUUCAUGACGGAAGGCAGGAGAACAAGCAGGCAAGACCAGCUGUGCUAGCACAUGGCACCCCUUUCCCACAUCACACCUGCUAACAUCCCAUUGUUCAAAGCAAGUAACACAACCAAACCCAAUAUCAACAGGACAAGAAAACAGACUCCACCUCUAGGUGCACAAACUACAGAGUCACGGACAGAGAACACAGAUCUAGGGAAGGAAGCUGGAGAAUGAGAACAAUGACCCUCAAUAACACAACCUCCCACAGGUUUCCAAAUCCCCAACCUGAGCAUAUUUCCAAGGAAACGGAAUCAUGGGUUCAGGGUUUUAGAGCAAGCAAUUUCUGCUCUCCCAGCUUAGUUUCCAUACCCUUAACACAGGGGCAAUGACGUCGCAUCGAAUCAUAUCUUAUAAGUCUGUGAUGAUGUUUCAACAACUGAACGCCAGAAAAGUGCUUAGAGCAAGGCCAGGUAGGAGGGACAGAAGCCAAUAAUAAUGAGUAGCAUCACUGUUAACCCGCAAAAUUCUGGGAAUUUCCUCGAAAGUCUAAUUAGAGAAUCAUGUCCCCAACAAUUAA